AAAUAUAUUGAGUGCAAACCUGCAUCCAGGAACAGAGCAUUUUACUCCUCCCUCAGAAUGAAUGGAGACCAGAAAUUGGACGCUUACACCCAAGAAAGGCAGGAUUUCAUCCAGCACUUCUCGGUGCUGACUGAGGAGGACACUGGGCACCCAGAGACAGGAGAUGCCAUUACCCGACUCAAGGAGGUCCUGGAGUACAGUGCCAUCGGAGGCAAGUACAGUCGGGGUUUGAUGGUGGUGGUAACGUUCCAGGAGCUUGUGGAGCCCGGGAAACAAGAUCCUGACAGUCUCCAGUGGGCCCUGACUGUGGGCUGGUGUGUGGAACUGCUCCAAGCCUUCUUCCUGGUGUCAGAUGACAUUAUGGACUCAUCCCUCACCCGCCGGGGGCAGACCUGCUGGUAUCUGAAGCCAGGCAUAGGUCUGGAUGCCAUCAAUGAUGCUUUCCUUCUGGAAUCAUCCAUCUAGCGCCUGUUGAAGCUGUACUGUCAGGAGCAGCCCUAUUACCUGGACCUGAUUGAGCUCUUCCUGCAGAGUUCUUAUCAAACUGAGAUCGGACAGACCUUGGACCUCAUCACAGCCCCCCAGGGCAAUGUGGAUCUUGGCAGAUUCACAGAAAAAAGGUAUAAGUCUAUUGUCAAGUACAAGACAGCUUACUACUCCUUUUACCUUCCUGUAGCUGCUGCCAUGUGUAUGGCGGGCAUUGAUGGGGAGGAGAAUGCCAAUGCCAAGAAGAUCCUGCUGGGGAUGGGAGGGUUCUUUCAGAUUCAGGAUGAUUACCUUGAUCUCUUUGGGGACCCCAGCGUGAUGGGUAAGGUCGGCGCAGACAUCCAGGACAACAAGUGCAGCUGACUGGUGGUUCAGUGUCUGCAGCGGGCCUCUCCAGAACAGCGCCAAAUCCUGCAGGAGAACUAUGGGCAGAAGGAGGCUGAGAAGGUGGCCCGAGUGAAGGCGCUCUACGAGGAGAUGAAUCUGUCGGCUGUGUACAUGCAAUACGAGGAAGACAAUUACAGCCACAUUAUGGGUCUCAUCGAGCAGUAUGCUGCACCCCUGCCCCCAGCCAUCUUCCUGGGGUUAGCGCAAAAGAUCUACGAGCGGAAAAAGUGACCUAGAGUCUGUGAAGGUGGGGAAGGGAGGCUUCUCAAUAAAUUAUUGUCUAACCUGU
Capra hircus (goat) is the source of this 1162-nucleotide RNA transcript. It is a transcript of the gene named farnesyl pyrophosphate synthase pseudogene, with no coding region annotated. Lineage: Eukaryota; Metazoa; Chordata; Mammalia; Artiodactyla; Bovidae. The record is from RefSeq and is a predicted model, not a curated record. The transcript has a single exon.